Molecule: ribosomal RNA, 301 nt
Filed under: uncultured bacterium
Lineage: Bacteria
Description: partial 16S ribosomal RNA
Rfam family: Bacterial small subunit ribosomal RNA
Source: RNAcentral
CAGCAGCCACGGGAAUACGAAGGGGGCUAGCGUUGCUCGGAAUUACUGGGCGUAAAGCGCGCGUAGGUGGUUUGUUAAGUUGGAUGUGAAAUCCCCGGGCUCAACCUGGGAACUGCAUCCAAAACUGGCAAGCUAGAGUAUGGUAGAGGGUGGUGGAAUUUCCUGUGUAGCGGUGAAAUGCGUAGAUAUAGGAAGGAACACCAGUGGCGAAGGCGACCACCUGGACUGAUACUGACACUGAGGUGCGAAAGCGUGGGGAGCAAACAGGAUUAGAUACCCCUGUAGUCCCUGUCUCUUAUAU